Molecule: ribosomal RNA, 1179 nt
Filed under: uncultured fungus
Lineage: Eukaryota; Fungi
Description: eukaryotic LSU rRNA
Rfam family: Eukaryotic large subunit ribosomal RNA (bases 539-1179)
Source: RNAcentral
CUUGGUCAUUUAGAGGAAGUAAAAGUCGUAACAAGGUCUCCGUUGGUGAACCAGCGGAGGGAUCAUUACAGGACUCGCAAGACUCCUUCACCCUGUGAACCUCACUACAAGCACGUUGCUUCGGCGGGUGUCCCGGCGGGGGUUUUCCCUCGCCGGGGCGCACAGCCCGCCGGCAGCCUACUAUACUCUGUCUCUUUGCGUUGGCAUCUCGAGAAAAAACAAACAAGUUAAAACUUUCAACAACGGAUCUCUUGGUUCUGGCAUCGAUGAAGAACGCAGCGAAAUGCGAUAAGUAAUGCGAAUUGCAGAAUUCCGUGAGUCAUCGAAUCUUGAACGCACAUUGCGCCCGCCAGCAUUCUGGCGGGCAUGCCUGUUCGAGCGUCAUUUCAACCCUCAGGCCCUGCCUGGCGUUGGAGGACUGCGCACGCAGCCUCCCAAAGCGAGCGGCGGCGGCGCCCCGAAACCGAACGCAGUAGUUACUUCUCGUUCUGGGUCCGGGUCGUUGUCCUGCCGGAAAACCCCCCCUCUAAUCAAUGGUUGACCUCGAAUCAGGUAGGAAUACCCGCUGAACUUAAGCAUAUCAAUAAGCGGAGGAAAAGAAACCAACAGGGAUUGCCUCAGUAACGGCGAGUGAAGCGGCAACAGCUCAAAUUUGAAAUCUGGCCUCCUGGUCCGAGUUGUAAUUUGCAGAGGAUGCUUCGGGCGCGGUGCCUUCCAAGUCCCCUGGAACGGGGCGCCGGAGAGGGUGAGAGCCCCGUACGGUUGGCGGCCAAGCCUGUGUGAAGCUCCUUCGACGAGUCGAGUAGUUUGGGAAUGCUGCUCUAAGCGGGAGGUAGACCCCUUCUAAAGCUAAAUAUUGGCCAGAGACCGAUAGCGCACAAGUAGAGUGAUCGAAAGAUGAAAAGCACUUUGAAAAGAGGGUUAAACAGCACGUGAAAUUGUUGAAAGGGAAGCGCUUGAGACCAGACGUGCGCCGGGGUGCUCAGCGGGCGUUCUCGCCCGUGCACUCGCCCCGGCGCAGGCCAGCGUCGGUUUGGGCGGGGGGAUAAAGGCGUCUGGAAUGUGGCUCCCCCGGGAGUGUUAUAGCCAGGCGUGCCAUGCCUCCGCCCGGACCGAGGUACGCGUUCUGCAAGGACGCUGGCGUAAUGGUCCCCAGCGACCCGUCUUGAAACACGGACC